UACGGAAGGCAGCAGUGGGGAAUAUUGCACAAUGGGCGCAAGCCUGAUGCAGCCAUGCCGCGUGUAUGAAGAAGGCCUUCGGGUUGUAAAGUACUUUCAGUCGUGAGGAAGGUGUUAAGGUUAAUAACCUUAGCAAUUGACGUUAGCGACAGAAGAAGCACCGGCUAACUCCGUGCCAGCAGCCGCGGUAAUACGGAGGGUGCGAGCGUUAAUCGGAAUUACUGGGCGUAAAGGGCACGCAGGCGGUUAAUUAAGUUGGAUGUGAAAUCCCCGGGCUUAACCUGGGAAUGGCAUUCAAGACUGGUUAGCUAGAGUCUUGUAGAGGGGGUAGAAUUCCAUGUGUAGCGGUGAAAUGCGUAGAGAUGUGGAGGAAUACCGGUGGCGAAGGCGGCCCCUGGACAAAAGACUGACGCUCAUGUGCGAAAAGCGUGGGGAGCAAAACAGGGAUUAGAAUACC
This 457-nucleotide ribosomal RNA is filed under the name uncultured bacterium. RNAcentral's name for it is "bacterial SSU rRNA". It matches the Rfam family "Bacterial small subunit ribosomal RNA", at positions 340 to 787 of the family's 1533-position model. The record is from RNAcentral.